RNAcentral lists this long non-coding RNA (431 nucleotides) under Rattus norvegicus (Norway rat). Its description in RNAcentral is "long non-coding RNA NONRATT030521". Lineage: Eukaryota; Metazoa; Chordata; Mammalia; Rodentia; Muridae. The record is from RNAcentral.
UCAAGGGCAAGGCCCUAGCAGAUGAGAAGGGACUGUCAGAUUACAACAUUGGCCCCAACUCUAAACUCAACCUAGUUGUUAAGCCUUGGGAGAAGGUGCUACUGUAAGAAGGGUCUGCCCAGAGACUGGGCGACUCCCCAGCCAUCCCCAUCUGGCAGCUGAUCUCCAAAGGCCUGGCCCCUCACUUCAGUAUAGGAGAUGCCAGCAGGGUCCUGGAACAACUACAGAGGGAUUAUGACAGGUCCUUGUGCCGCCUAAUACUGGAUGACAUCGAAUGUUUGGCCAGACGCUUUCUACACCCUGAAGUGACUGAGGCCAUGGAAAAGGGGUUCUGCAAAUAGCAUUGUGGGAUUGUGGGGAGAAAUCCCAGGUCAGGCCACAGAGCUGCAUGUUGCAUUAAAUGUGUUCUUGUGUCAAAAAAGAAAAAAAAA